UACGUAGGGUGCGAGCGUUGUCCGGAAUUAUUGGGCGUAAAGAGCUUGUAGGCGGUCUGUCGCGUCUGCUGUGAAAAUCCGGGGCUCAACUCCGGAUCUGCGGUGGGUACGGGCAGACUAGAGUGAUGUAGGGGAGACUGGAAUUCCUGGUGUAGCGGUGAAAUGCGCAGAUAUCAGGAGGAACACCGAUGGCGAAGGCAGGUCUCUGGGCAUUAACUGACGCUGAGGAGCGAAAGCAUGGGGAGCGAACAGG
RNAcentral lists this ribosomal RNA (253 nucleotides) under uncultured bacterium. RNAcentral's name for it is "partial 16S ribosomal RNA". It matches the Rfam family "Bacterial small subunit ribosomal RNA", at positions 524 to 776 of the family's 1533-position model. The record is from RNAcentral.